UGUUCUGAAUACAGUGUCGCCUGGAGCCAUCCAUGGACGAGGAGGAGGUCGAACAAGAGCUGCGCAGAUACUUCACGAACAUAGCAGACGAUGAACCUGAGGAGAGAGGUAAUGACUUACCUCUCCCAGCAGGUUGUCGAGGAUGCGGAGCAGCUCCAGGCGAUGGCUCCUUACCAGACCUGCA
This 184-nucleotide long non-coding RNA is filed under the name Priapulus caudatus. RNAcentral describes it as "uncharacterized LOC106806253, transcript variant X2". The record is from RNAcentral. Lineage: Eukaryota; Metazoa; Priapulida; Priapulimorpha; Priapulimorphida; Priapulidae.